GCCCUGGUGGUGGAAUUGGUAGACACAAGUGAUUUAAAAUCCCUCGGCGUUCGCGCUGUGCCGGUUCAAGUCCGGCCCGGGGCACCA
RNAcentral lists this transfer RNA (87 nucleotides) under Vibrio parahaemolyticus. RNAcentral's name for it is "tRNA-Leu". It matches the Rfam family "tRNA". From Rfam's summary of the family: Transfer RNA (tRNA) molecules are approximately 80 nucleotides in length. Their secondary structure includes four short double-helical elements and three loops (D, anti-codon, and T loops). RNAcentral also lists the same sequence under 1 other name. The record is from RNAcentral. Lineage: Bacteria; Pseudomonadati; Pseudomonadota; Gammaproteobacteria; Vibrionales; Vibrionaceae.